UCUCUGUUAGUAUAUCGGUUAGUACACGCGCCUGUCACUGGAUGGCCGCGCGAAAGCGGGGUUCGACUCCCCGACAGAGAG
RNAcentral lists this transfer RNA (81 nucleotides) under Lentinus tigrinus ALCF2SS1-7. RNAcentral describes it as "tRNA-Asp". It matches the Rfam family "tRNA". From Rfam's summary of the family: Transfer RNA (tRNA) molecules are approximately 80 nucleotides in length. Their secondary structure includes four short double-helical elements and three loops (D, anti-codon, and T loops). Lineage: Eukaryota; Fungi; Basidiomycota; Agaricomycetes; Polyporales; Polyporaceae. RNAcentral also lists the same sequence under 1 other name. The record is from RNAcentral.